AUGGGCGUAGAAGACCAUAGACUUGUAUUCGCUUGCCUCUAUGAAUCCAAGUCUGGUGUGUGGGGAAAUGUUACCUCAACACGGACCACAGGAGGGUUGGUUUUUCCGAUAAGGCCCAGCGUCCUUGUCGGGAAUGCACUUUGCUGGUUGCUUUAUGGGGAAACUGAAGGUGACAUCCUUGAGUUUGAUUUUGCAAUGCAAAAGCUUGUUGUGAUUGAGAAGCCACUAGAUUGCGAGAUUGCCUACCGUGGCCGUCCCCGCCUCCGAAUCGUGCGGACAGAGGAGAGAGGUCUUGGACUCAUCGGUUACACAGGACUGAGCCUGCAGUUAUGGGAGCGGAAGGACAAUUAUGAUGAUGUUGCUACAUGGAUCCUUCAGAAAACCAUUGAUCUGCUCGAGCACCUUUCGCCCGUCGAGCUCAAAUGGAGUUGGAUACAUGGGUACGAUGAGGAUCACAGUGUGCUAUUUCUUUGCGCACUUAAUGGUUCUUUAAUGAUCCAGCUUGACUCAAUACAGUUCGGUAACUGUUUUCGGACCAAUCUCGACGGCACCACACCUCCAGAAAGAAAAGAUAUCAACACCACCUACAUUCCCUACAAAAGUUUUUAUGCCGCAGGUAAUAGCCGGUUCUUACAUUGCAAGAAUGUCGGUUACGUCUUCACUCCCACGCUGGACUCGCCCGACCGCAUCCCGGCCGCGCGUUUCUCCCUGCCGCAGCGCUGCCGCGACGAGGGGUUGGACUUGGACUUCGUGGAAUGCCAUCACGGCCUCGCCCUUUUCCUCAACAAGAAACAACCCGAGGCCGUCGUGUGGAACCCCAUCUCCGGUCGCCAGCACCGAGUAGCUUUUCCACCAGAGUUCGGCAACGCUAGAGAGAGGGAGAUCCUAUGCGCGGCGGUGCUCUGCGCUGCUGGUGAUGACGACCCUGGCCAUGUGCACGGUGAUUGUGGCUUGAGCUCUUUUAAAUUGGCUUUGGUGCGAGGUGGCCAAGACCACGCAAGUCUAUCUGUGUGCCUCUACAAAUCCAGGUCUGGCCUAUGGGGAAAUGUUAUCUCAACGACUAAAGACUGGUAA
Molecule: ribosomal RNA, 1074 nt
Filed under: Triticum aestivum (bread wheat)
Lineage: Eukaryota; Viridiplantae; Streptophyta; Magnoliopsida; Poales; Poaceae
Description: partial small subunit ribosomal RNA
Source: RNAcentral